Molecule: ribosomal RNA, 429 nt
Filed under: Chloroflexota bacterium
Lineage: Bacteria; Bacillati; Chloroflexota
Description: Chloroflexi bacterium partial 16S ribosomal RNA
Rfam family: Bacterial small subunit ribosomal RNA
Source: RNAcentral
UAGGGAAUCUUCGGCAAUGGACGAAAGUCUGACCGAGCAACGCCGCGUGAGUGAAGAAGGUUUUCGGAUCGUAAAACUCUGUUGUUAGAGAAGAACAAGGACGUUAGUAACUGAACGUCCCCUGACGGUAUCUAACCAGAAAGCCACGGCUAACUACGUGCCAGCAGCCGCGGUAAUACGUAGGUGGCAAGCGUUGUCCGGAUUUAUUGGGCGUAAAGCGAGCGCAGGCGGUUUCUUAAGUCUGAUGUGAAAGCCCCCGGCUCAACCGGGGAGGGUCAUUGGAAACUGGGGGACUUGUGUGCAGAAGAGGAGAGUGGAAUUCCAUGUGUAGCGGUGAAAUGCGUAGAUAGAUGGAGGAACACCAGUGGCGAAGGCGGCUCUCUGGUCUGUAAAAGACGCUGAGGCUCGAAAGCGUGGGGAGCAAACAGG